UGAAAAACCACCUGUCUACCCAAAA
This 25-nucleotide non-coding RNA is filed under the name Rattus norvegicus (Norway rat). Lineage: Eukaryota; Metazoa; Chordata; Mammalia; Rodentia; Muridae. The record is from RNAcentral.